GGGUAGGUGGUCUAGUCUGGCAAGGAUUCCGGUUUCGGGAGCCGGUGAUCGAGGGUUCGAAUCCCUUCCUACCCA
This 75-nucleotide transfer RNA is filed under the name Candidatus Heimdallarchaeota archaeon. RNAcentral's name for it is "tRNA-Pro". It matches the Rfam family "tRNA". Rfam says of the family: Transfer RNA (tRNA) molecules are approximately 80 nucleotides in length. Their secondary structure includes four short double-helical elements and three loops (D, anti-codon, and T loops). Further hydrogen bonds mediate the characteristic L-shaped molecular structure. tRNAs have two regions of fundamental functional importance: the anti-codon, which is responsible for specific mRNA codon recognition, and the 3' end, to which the tRNAs corresponding amino acid is attached (by aminoacyl-tRNA synthetases). tRNAs cope with the degeneracy of the genetic code in two manners: having more than one tRNA (with a specific anti-codon) for a particular amino acid; and 'wobble' base-pairing, i.e. permitting non-standard base-pairing at the 3rd anti-codon position. Lineage: Archaea; Promethearchaeati; Candidatus Heimdallarchaeota. The record is from RNAcentral.